RNAcentral lists this unclassified non-coding RNA (337 nucleotides) under soil metagenome. Its description in RNAcentral is "partial contains 5.8S ribosomal RNA, internal transcribed spacer 2, and large subunit ribosomal RNA". The stretch from base 1 to 120 matches the Rfam family "5.8S ribosomal RNA", at positions 35 to 154 of the family's 154-position model. The record is from RNAcentral.
GAUGAAGAACGCAGCGAAAUGCGAUAAGUAGUGUGAAUUGCAGAAUUCAGCGAAUCAUCGAAUCUUUGAACGCACAUUGCGCCCCAUGGUAUUCCGUGGGGCAUGCCUGUUCGAGCGUCAUUUACCCCCUCAAGCUCCGCUUGGUGUUGGGCGUCUGUCCCGCUUCGCGCGCGGACUCGCCCCAAAGGUAUUGGCAGCGGUCGUGCCAGCUUCUCGCGCAGCACAUUGCGCUUCUCGAGGCACCGGUGGGCCCGCGUCCAUCAAGCUCACCCCCCCAGUUUGACCUCGGAUCAGGUAGGGAUACCCGCUGAACUUAAGCAUAUCAAUAAGCGGAGGA